UAUAAGCUUUUAGUAACUAUAUAAACUAGAGAUGUCUAAAAUAUUCGAUAUUUUGGACAUGAUUCAAACACUAUCCGGACUCAAUUAAGGGCUUGUUUGGUUUAAGGGUGGAAUUGGAAUGGAUAAUGGAAUGAGAAUGAAUUGGAAUGGUAUAAUUGGAAUGAUCCACUCUCCCAAAACGUUUGGUUUAUUUGUGGAUUGGGAAUUAGAAUGAGUUAUUCACAUUUUAUUGUUUGGUUCGUAUAAAUUAAAAAAAUUAUAGGAUACUAUAAUACUAAUUUUACUCUCAAAUAUAAAUUUAUAUUAUUUAAAAUUUAUGAAAAAUAUAAUAUUAUUCUCUAAUAAGUUUUUCAAAAAAAAAUUCAAAUUUAUUUUUAAAAACUUUUAUUAAUGUGGGUUAGGAAUAAGGUUUUGAGAGAGGAUAGGGUUUUUUUUUUUUGAUGAGAAAGAGGUGGAGAGAAGGAGGGUGAGAUGGUCACAUGAGUUUCGAGAACUUAGUGGGCUUUCAGAAUGAAAUCUCAAUCCGAACUAGAAGACCGGAAUCAAGUUGAAGGCUAAUGGGUCAUUCCCAUUCCAGUCCGGAAUAGGAAUCUCAAACUGAUUCAUGCGAACCAAACAAAAUUAACCCGAUUUGAUCAAACCGAUUUCAAUUCCAUACUCAAAAUGGAUGAACCAAACAAGCCAAAAGUAGAUAGUAGAUGGGUAAAAAAAAA
This 713-nucleotide long non-coding RNA is filed under the name Ananas comosus (pineapple). RNAcentral describes it as "long non-coding RNA (ACOM_LNC043027)". The record is from RNAcentral. Lineage: Eukaryota; Viridiplantae; Streptophyta; Magnoliopsida; Poales; Bromeliaceae.